Molecule: ribosomal RNA, 446 nt
Filed under: uncultured Rhodocyclaceae bacterium
Lineage: Bacteria; Pseudomonadati; Pseudomonadota; Betaproteobacteria; Rhodocyclales; Rhodocyclaceae
Description: bacterial SSU rRNA
Rfam family: Bacterial small subunit ribosomal RNA
Source: RNAcentral
CGGUGGAUGAUGUGGUUAAUUCGAUGCAACGCGAAAACCUUACUACCUGACAUGUCCGGAAUCCCGAAGAGAUUUGGGAGUGCUCGCAAGAGAGCCGGAACACAGGUGCUGCAUGGCUGUCGUCAGCUCGUGUCGUGAGAUGUUGGGUUAAGUCCCGCAACGAGCGCAACCCUUGUCAUUAGUUGCCAUCAUUGGUUGGGCACUCUAAUGAGACUGCCGGUGACAAACCGGAGGAAGUGGGGAUGACGUCAAGUCCUCAUGGCCCUUAUGGGUAGGGCUUCACACGUCAUACAAUGGUCGGUACAGAGGGUUGCCAACCCGCGAGGGGGAGCUAAUCCCACAAAGCCGAUCGUAGUCCGGAUCGCAGUCUGCAACUCGACUGCGUGAAGUCGGAAUCGCUAGUAAUCGUGGAUCAGCAUGUCACGGUGAAUACGUUCCCGGGUCUU